Molecule: unclassified non-coding RNA, 240 nt
Filed under: soil metagenome
Description: partial contains 5.8S ribosomal RNA, internal transcribed spacer 2, and large subunit ribosomal RNA
Source: RNAcentral
AACCAUAGAAACCUGCGGAGUACCUGCGGAGGGAUCAUUACACAAUACAAUAUGAAGGCUGUCCGCAGCUGGAGUAUUUUAUUACCCUUGUCUUUUGCGCACUUGUUGUUUCCUGGGCGGGUUCGCUCGCCACCAGGACCACCAAAUAAACCUUUUUUAUGCAGUUGCAAUCAGCGUCAGUACAAACAAUGUAAAUCAUUUACAACUUUCAGCAACGGAUCUCAGAUCGGAAGAGCACAC